AUGGGAUCCGAGCUCGCGUCAAAGGCUGCACCUGCUUUGCGCCCCUACCAGGAAGGGGUGCUUGUGUGGGAGGGAAGAAGGGAGGUUCUGCGCCCCCGAAUCCGGAGAAAGCAGCCCGCCCGCCCCCUCACCGGGCAGCCAGAGCAGCGCACCCGAGAGCCGAGCCCAAGAAGCCGGCCUCUGACGGUGCUGGUCUGCUUGCCAAAAAAUGCCCCUUGCAUCUCAAUUUCCCCGGCCGUUUCUCUCCCACGCACGACUCGCCCGGGGCCACCUCGGCUCCCUAGCGCAGUCCUUGGGGCGCUGGUUCCAUCCCUCCCCUCCCAACGCCGAACGCAAAACCCACCGCCAAGAAGGCGCAGGGGGUGCGGGGUGGGGGCACCAGCCCCUCCCGUGCCCCUCAGUCCCCUCCCAGCCGAGCCCAGCUCCCAGACUCUCGAUCACGGAAAUAAGUGUCAUUUAGACGGAGAACCGCGCGUCCGCGGCCCCCCGUCCCUGGCUCUGGGUGCUUCUCUGCGGUUCCAGUGCGCUCCCGAACCCUCCUCCCCCGUCGCCGUUUUCGGGCCUGUGCCCCCCACCCAGACUCGGGAGCAGUCCCCGGUCACCUCGGCUGCGUCCAUUUCACUUCCUCUCGCGGUCCGGAUUGCAGCAAAACACCGGGCAGCGCGAGGGCCAAAAAGUGGAAAGGAGAGCGCCUUUCGGCGUCGCGCAAGCCAGCUCGCUGACUCCCCCUCCCCAGCCCAGCCCCUCUCAAUCCCAACUGCAACUUUUUCCCUUCCGUCUUGGUUUCCCCUUGGCCGCGGCGAGCGGGCGCCGGGCCGCGAGGCGUGGAGCGGGCGGGCGGCCGCGCGGCUGCGGGUGGCGGUGCGGGCGAGAGCCGCGAGCCGCGAGCCGGAGAGUGGGUGGGUGGGUGGGGAGGGAGGAGGGGAGAGGACGGGCGGGGAGAGAGUGGGGUGUGGGGAAGGGGAGGGGGAGAGGAGGGAGGGGGGAGAUUCCGCUCUCCUGCCGCUCCCAGCCGGGGCGGGGGGGAGGAGGCCGCGAGGAGGGAGGGGAGGAGGGAGGGGAAGAGAGGGAGGGAGCCGAGGAAGACGCUCCGAUAACCCGUGCGUUUCGUAA
Molecule: long non-coding RNA, 1113 nt
Filed under: Felis catus (domestic cat)
Lineage: Eukaryota; Metazoa; Chordata; Mammalia; Carnivora; Felidae
Description: lncRNA (ENSFCAG00000049986.1)
Source: RNAcentral